CUGGCGGCGUGCCUAAUACAUGCAAGUCGAACGGUCUUUCUAUGGAAGCUUGCUUCCACUGAGAAGAUAGUGGCGAACGGGUGAGUAACACGUGGGUAACCUGCCCAUAAGAGGGGGAUAACAUCCGGAAACGGGUGCUAAUACCGCAUAGUUUUCUUGAUCGCAUGAUUGAGAAAGGAAAGACGGCCUUUGUGCUGUCGCUUAUGGAUGGACCCGCGGCGUAUUAGUUAGUUGGUGAGGUAACGGCUCACCAAGACGAUGAUACGUAGCCGACCUGAGAGGGUGAUCGGCCACAUUGGGACUGAGACACGGCCCAAACUCCUACGGGAGGCAGCAGUAGGGAAUCUUCCGCAAUGGACGAAAGUCUGACGGAGCAACGCCGCGUGAGUGAAGAAAGGGUUUUCGGAUCGUAAAACUCUGUUGUCAGAGAAGAACAAGUUGGAGAGUAACUGCUCCAGCCUUGACGGUAUCUGACCAGAAAGCCACGGCUAACUACGUGCCAGCCGCAGC
RNAcentral lists this ribosomal RNA (510 nucleotides) under uncultured bacterium. RNAcentral's name for it is "bacterial SSU rRNA". It matches the Rfam family "Bacterial small subunit ribosomal RNA", at positions 36 to 518 of the family's 1533-position model. The record is from RNAcentral.